GGAGAGAUGCCGGAGCGGUUGAACGGGCUUGCCCGGAAAGCAAGUAAUGGGGUAACUCAUUCCAGGGUUCGAAUCCCUGUCUCUCCGCCA
Molecule: transfer RNA, 90 nt
Filed under: Planctomycetota bacterium
Lineage: Bacteria; Pseudomonadati; Planctomycetota
Also listed under: 1 other name
Description: tRNA-Ser
Rfam family: tRNA
About the family: Transfer RNA (tRNA) molecules are approximately 80 nucleotides in length. Their secondary structure includes four short double-helical elements and three loops (D, anti-codon, and T loops).
Source: RNAcentral